GACGAACGCUGGCGGCGUGCCUAACACAUGCAAGUCGAGCGUGAAAGGAGCUUCGGCUCUGAGUAAAGCGGCGAACGGGUGAGUAACACGUGGGCAACCUGCCCCAAGGACUGGGAUAACCCUCGGAAACGAGGGCUAAUACCGGACGUGCAUACAUCGCACAAGUGGCGUAUGCAAAGGUAGCUUCGGCUUCUGCCUUGGGAUGGGCCCGCGGCCUAUCAGCUUGUUGGUGAGGUAAUGGCUCACCAAGGCUACGACGGGUAGCUGGUCUGAGAGGACGAUCAGCCACACUGGGACUGAGACACGGCCCAGACUCCUACGGGAGGCAGCAGUGGGGAAUCUUGCGCAAUGGGCGAAAGCCUGACGCAGCAACGCCGCGUGGAGGAAGAAGGCCUCGGUUGUAACUACCUGUCAGGGGAAGGAAGGACGACCUGGUGGAAGUAGCCCAACGGGACGUGACGGUACCCCGACGACGGAAG
RNAcentral lists this ribosomal RNA (479 nucleotides) under uncultured bacterium. Its description in RNAcentral is "bacterial SSU rRNA". It matches the Rfam family "Bacterial small subunit ribosomal RNA", at positions 28 to 494 of the family's 1533-position model. The record is from RNAcentral.